RNAcentral lists this unclassified non-coding RNA (1350 nucleotides) under Hevea brasiliensis (rubber tree). The record is from RNAcentral. Lineage: Eukaryota; Viridiplantae; Streptophyta; Magnoliopsida; Malpighiales; Euphorbiaceae.
UGUUGUUCGUGCUCCUGAAGAUCCUAUUCUCGGGGUGACCGUUGCGUACAACAAAGAUCCGAGCCCGAACAAGUUGAAUUUGGGCGUCGGUGCUUACAGGACAGAGGAAGGGAAACCACUUGUCUUGAACGUUGUCAGGAAAGCAGAGCAUCAGCUUGUUAAUGAUAGUACACGAGUUAAGGAGUAUCUUCCGAUUGUGGGAUUGGCCGAGUUUAAUAAACAGAGUGCUAAGCUUAUUUUUGGUGCUGACAGCCCUGCUAUCCUUGAGAACCGUGUUACAACUGUUCAAUGCUUGUCUGGUACUGGAUCACUGAGGGUUGGUGGUGAAUUUUUGGCAAGACAUUAUCAUGAGCGGCUAAUAUACAUUCCCCUGCCAACAUGGGGAAACCACCCCAAAGUUUUUAGUCUGGCUGGUCUGUCUGUAAAAACUUACCGAUAUUAUGAUCCCUCAACCCGAGGGUUGGACUUUCAAGGCCUCUUGGAAGAUCUUGGUUCUGCUCCAUCUGGAGCUAUAGUUCUGCUUCAUGCCUGUGCUCAUAACCCAACUGGUGUCGAUCCAACCCUUGAACAAUGGGAUCAGAUUAGGAAGUUGAUGAGAUCAAAACAGCUUUUACCUUUCUUUGACAGUGCUUAUCAGGGUUUUGCCAGUGGAAGUUUGGAUGCGGAUGCACAACCUGUGCGCUUAUUUGUUGCUGAUGGAGGUGAAUUGUUUGUAGCCCAGAGCUAUGCAAAAAAUUUGGGGCUCUAUGGUGAACGUGUUGGGGCUUUAAGCAUUGUCUGCAAGAAUGCUGAUGUCGCAAGCAGGGUAGAGAGCCAGCUAAAACUAGUGAUAAGGCCCAUGUACUCAAACCCACCCAUUCACGGAGCAUCUAUUGUCGCUACAGUCCUGAAGGACAGGGAUUUGUUCAAUGAAUGGACUAUUGAGUUGAAGGCCAUGGCAGACCGUAUUAUUAGCAUGCGCCAGCAACUUUUUGAUGCCUUGCGCGCUAGAGGUACACCUGGUGAUUGGAGUCACAUCAUCAAACAGAUUGGAAUGUUUACUUUCACAGGAUUGAAUUCGGAACAAGUUAGCUUCAUGACCAAAGAAUAUCACAUUUACAUGACCUCUGAUGGGAGAAUCAGCAUGGCAGGUUUGAGCUCACGGACCGUACCCCACCUUGCGGAUGCAAUCCAUGCAGCCGUAACUCGUGUCGUCUAAUUUUGUCCGCAGCACGUUCCGCUCAUUACUUAUGCUUAGUUUUUUCCAUUAAAUAAAAAUUGUUGCUUACCCUUUGCUGGAAGCGAAUUGUCGUCAUUGCGAACCCUUAAAAAACUUGUUUUUUUGUAAUAUUUCGAGUAAUCAGCGCUCAU